This 253-nucleotide ribosomal RNA is filed under the name uncultured bacterium. RNAcentral describes it as "partial 16S ribosomal RNA". It matches the Rfam family "Bacterial small subunit ribosomal RNA", at positions 524 to 776 of the family's 1533-position model. The record is from RNAcentral.
UACAGAGGUCUCAAGCGUUGUUCGGAUUCAUUGGGCGUAAAGGGUGCGUAGGCGGCGCGGUAAGUCGGGUGUGAAAUCUCGGAGCUUAACUCCGAAACUGCGUUCGAUACUGCCGUGCUCGAGGACUGGAGAGGAGACUGGAAUUUACGGUGUAGCGGUGAAAUGCGUAGAUAUCGUAAGGAAGACCAGUGGCGAAGGCGGGUCUCUGGACAGUUCCUGACGCUGAGGCACGAAGGUCAGGGGAGCAAACGGG